GACGAACGCUGGCGGCGUGCUUAACACAUGCAAGUCGAACGGAAAGGCCCUGCUUGCAGGGUACUCGAGUGGCGAACGGGUGAGUAACACGUGGGUGAUCUGCCCUGCACUUCGGGAUAAGCCUGGGAAACUGGGUCUAAUACCGGAUAGGAGCCAUUUUUAGUGUGAUGGUUGGAAAGUUUUUUCGGUGUAGGAUGAGCUCGCGGCCUAUCAGCUUGUUGGUGGGGUAAUGGACUACCAAGGCGGCGACGGGUAGCCGGCCUGAGAGGGUGGACGGCCACAGUUGGACGUAGAUACGGCCCAGACUCCUACGGGAGGCAGCAGUGGGGAAUAUUGCACAAUGGGCGCAAGCCUGAUGCAGCGAAGCCGCGUGGGGGAUGACGGCCUUCGGGUUGUAAACUCCUUUCGCUCGGGACGAAGCUUUUUGUGACGGUACCUAGAUAAGAAGCACCGGCUAACUACGUG
RNAcentral lists this ribosomal RNA (465 nucleotides) under uncultured bacterium. Its description in RNAcentral is "partial 16S ribosomal RNA". It matches the Rfam family "Bacterial small subunit ribosomal RNA", at positions 28 to 507 of the family's 1533-position model. The record is from RNAcentral.